RNAcentral lists this ribosomal RNA (319 nucleotides) under Planococcus vovae. RNAcentral's name for it is "partial 28S ribosomal RNA". The record is from RNAcentral. Lineage: Eukaryota; Metazoa; Arthropoda; Insecta; Hemiptera; Pseudococcidae.
AAACCGUUCGGGGGUAAACGGACAGAGCCCGUGAAUCCGGGCGGCGGAAUUCAGAAUCGACGGCGUUCGCGCGUCGUCGGUUCGAUAUUUCCGUCGCCGUUUCCAAUUACGGACGUCGCGACCCGUUCGGUGUCGGUCUGAGGAGACGUGUGAAAGUUCGACGGCGCGUUGUCGAGUCGUUUCGGCGGCUAGGCGCGCGUCUUCGAGUCGCGUUUUUCAAUUCUGGCCGACUCGCCGGACGGUACGUGUGACGGUGGCCGCGGCGACCUGGCGUCGUCGUUGGUACCGGUCUGCGACGAAUCUUCGGGCCUCUUUCCGA